This 181-nucleotide ribosomal RNA is filed under the name uncultured bacterium. RNAcentral's name for it is "partial 16S ribosomal RNA". It matches the Rfam family "Bacterial small subunit ribosomal RNA", at positions 1320 to 1500 of the family's 1533-position model. The record is from RNAcentral.
ACGAAGUUGGAAUUGCUAGUAAUCGUGGAUCAGCAUGCCACGGUGAAUACGUUCCCGGGUCUUGUACACACCGCCCGUCACACCAUGGGAGCUGGUAACACCCGAAGUCAGUAGUCUAACCGCAAGGAGGACGCUGCCGAAGGUGGGAUUAGCGACUGGGGUGAAGUCGUAACAAGGUAGC